Long non-coding RNA from Brienomyrus brachyistius, 1033 nucleotides. RefSeq lists it as uncharacterized. The transcript is spliced from 2 exons. NCBI's taxonomy places the organism in Eukaryota, Metazoa, Chordata, Actinopteri, Osteoglossiformes, Mormyridae. The record is from RefSeq and is a predicted model, not a curated record.
AGCAUGAGUGAAGGCAUCAGGAGACACUGAGUUGGUGGGUGGCCCUGUGGCCCCAUACCUCUGUGGAUUUGACUUCUGCCCCAGCCUUUGUAUUUCUGGAGAAUGGUGCAUUUUGCCUUAUAUCCCGUGCUUCUUGGGAUAGGCUUGCCCAGCGGACAUAAUUCUCCAAGGACCACAUAGGAAGCCAAUGGAGGACUUUGUCUUAUAGUGCAAGGAGAACCACCUGCAGCUCGGCAUCAGCUAGACAAAAGAGUUGGCGGCGGAUUUCUGGCAUGCCAGAGAUCCCCUAAGACCAGUCACUAUCCAGGAAGAGGAAAUGAAGGUGGUGCAGUGCAGUUACAAUUACCUGGGGGUCCACUUGAGUUGUAAACCGCACUGGGUGGACAACACUGUAGCAUUAUGCAAGAAAGGCACUCGACUUCCUAAGGAGGCUCCGGUCUUUUGAUGCGCGCAGCAAAUUAUUAGACAUGUUUGACUAGUUCAUGGUGGCCAGCAUACUUCUGUACACUGUGUACUGCUGUGGAAGCAAGAUAAGUUCAAGCAAUGCCAAAUGCCUGAACAAACGCAUCAGAAAAGCCAGCUCCAUCAAAUCAUUUGCAGGGUGCUCUCUUUGAGCAUGGCCAGCCACCAGUUCAUUGCACCACAGCAUGCUAAGGACUGCUGGGGCCUUUCCUGCCUGCUGCUGUCAGGCACUGCAGUGCCUCCUGCUGAUGUGCCCACACUCUGCAUAACACGCCAAGACAUUUAAAGACAGAUAUCAAGAGCCUACAUAAUUAUAUCCAUCCAUGUCCUUGUUGAUUUAUAGUUAUCUAUUCAUGUAUGCACAACCUCGAUUGCACUGUGCAUUUACAGCUUGUCCUUUUGCGUUAUUGCUUUUGUGUUCGUGCACCUUCUUUGCUGCUAUAUGCAAAUAUAUCUUCCCUCCAUCAUCCAUACAUCUGUCCAUUUAUCCAUCAAACCUGCAUUUUUUUCUUAUGCUUCGCAAAGACAUUUUCUACAGUCGUUUUCUGUGUAAUAAAAAUGUAGCAAGUGA